GACGAACGCUGGCGGCGUGCUUAACACAUGCAAGUCGAACGGAAAGGCCCUGCUUGCAGGGUACUCGAGUGGCGAACGGGUGAGUAACACGUGGGUGAUCUGCCCUGCACUUCGGGAUAAGCCUGGGAAACUGGGUCUAAUACCGGAUAGAAGCCAUUUUUAGUGUGAUGGUUGGAAAGUUUUUUCGGUGUAGGAUGGGCUCGCGGCCUAUCAGCUUGUUGGUGGGGUAAUGGCCUACCAAGGCGGCGACGGGUAGCCGGCCUGAGAGGGUGGACGGCCACAUUGGGACUGAGAUACGGCCCAGACUCCUACGGGAGGCAGCAGUGGGGAAUAUUGCACAAUGGGCGGAAGCCUGAUGCAGCGACGCCGCGUGGGGGAUGACGGCCUUCGGGUUGUAAACUCCUUUCGCUAGGGACGAAGCUUUUGUGACGGUAACUAGAGAAGAAGCACCGGCUAACUACGUG
Molecule: ribosomal RNA, 464 nt
Filed under: uncultured bacterium
Lineage: Bacteria
Description: partial 16S ribosomal RNA
Rfam family: Bacterial small subunit ribosomal RNA
Source: RNAcentral